This is a non-coding RNA of Podarcis lilfordi (Lilford's wall lizard), 585 nucleotides long. Lineage: Eukaryota; Metazoa; Chordata; Lepidosauria; Squamata; Lacertidae. The record is from the annotation of a GenBank genome assembly.
AUUAUUUUGAAAGUUGCAUGAAGUUUUUCAUUAAAUGUUCGAUGCUUGACAGAACUGACCACAUUAUUCGGCUCUUUGGGGCAUCGGGUUCCAGAUUAAACUUCCUGGGAGAAACGGCACCCAAAGCCCUCACCCAGACUUUGCUCUGCCCUUUCCAGGUACAGGUCUGGGCUUUCCAGGAAUGUGUGCUAGCGGGUUUUGUUUCUGUUUUUGUCCUGGUACUUUCCCUGGGAAAAUCCAUAUUUCACCAUGAAUUGGAGCCCACAGCAAUCCGCAGGAAGCCCAUUUGCCAUUUGCUCCGAUUCAGUGGUAAAAUGCCGAUUUUCCUGGGGAAAGCACUGGAGCAAAAAAGAAACCGCUCAGACACAGACCUGGGAAGGCCAGACCUGUUCCUAGAAACAGGGCACAAAAGGGAGUCUGAGGAGCUCAGAUAUGUGAUUCAGGACAUUUACAGGACUAAUAAAGCAUGUUUAGUAACCAUGAAUGUCUGCUGCGUGGUUCUUGGUCCCCCCAGGCCCACCUUGUCUGGGUGUGAAUCAGGCCAGAAGCGGUGGGGGUUGGCGAUGGGGGCACCCAUGCUUCUCC